RNAcentral lists this ribosomal RNA (265 nucleotides) under uncultured bacterium. RNAcentral describes it as "partial 16S ribosomal RNA". It matches the Rfam family "Bacterial small subunit ribosomal RNA", at positions 88 to 354 of the family's 1533-position model. The record is from RNAcentral.
CCGGCGACCGGCGCACGGGUGAGUAACACGUAUGGAACCUGCCCGCAGCAGGGGAUAAGCGGAAGAAAUUCCGUCUAAUACCGCGUAACACCGCGGAGGGGCAUCCCUCGGCGGUUAAAGAUUCAUCGGCUGCGGAUGGCCAUGCGGCGCAUUAGCUAGUCGGCGGGGUAACGGCCCACCGAGGCGACGAUGCGUAGGGGUUCUGAGAGGAAGGUCCCCCACACUGGUACUGAGACACGGACCAGACUCCUACGGGAGGCAGCAG